This 312-nucleotide ribosomal RNA is filed under the name Trochopus pini. RNAcentral's name for it is "eukaryotic LSU rRNA". It matches the Rfam family "Eukaryotic large subunit ribosomal RNA", at positions 70 to 347 of the family's 3401-position model. The record is from RNAcentral. Lineage: Eukaryota; Metazoa; Platyhelminthes; Monogenea; Capsalidea; Capsalidae.
CAGGAUUCUUCUUAGUAACUGCGAGUGAACNGAGAUUAGCCCAACAUCGAAGCCUCUUUGCUCUUGCGAGGUAAGGCAAUGUGAUGUUAAGGCAUUUAAAUUCACAGACUGGCUAACUUGAAGUCCAUAUUUGACUGUGGCUUAUGUGUAUGCACCCAGAGAAGGUGAAAGGCCCGUUCAGGUUGGUAUUCCGACAUGACAGUUCUGUGUUUAUUUAUUUGUCUUGGAGUCGGAUUGCUUGAGAGUGCAGUCCAAAAUUGGUGGUAAACUCCAUCUAAGGCUAAAUACCUGUACGAAUCCGAUAGUCGACUU